UAGAGAAUCUUCGGCAAUGGGGGCAACCCUGACCGAGCAACGCCGCGUGAGUGAAGAAGGUUUUCGGAUCGUAAAGCUCUGUUGUAAGAGAAGAACGUGUGUGAGAGUGGAAAGUUCACACAGUGACGGUAACUUACCAGAAAGGGACGGCUAACUACGUGCCAGCAGCCGCGGUAAUACGUAGGUCCCGAGCGUUGUCCGGAUUUAUUGGGCGUAAAGCGAGCGCAGGCGGUUUAAUAAGUCUGAAGUUAAAGGCAGUGGCUUAACCAUUGUUCGCUUUGGAAACUGUUAAACUUGAGUGCAGAAGGGGAGAGUGGAAUUCCAUGUGUAGCGGUGAAAUGCGUAGAUAUAUGGAGGAACACCGGUGGCGAAAGCGGCUCUCUGGUCUGUAACUGACGCUGAGGCUCGAAAGCGUGGGGAGCAAACAGG
Molecule: ribosomal RNA, 429 nt
Filed under: bacterium
Lineage: Bacteria
Description: partial 16S ribosomal RNA
Rfam family: Bacterial small subunit ribosomal RNA
Source: RNAcentral